Molecule: ribosomal RNA, 253 nt
Filed under: uncultured bacterium
Lineage: Bacteria
Description: partial 16S ribosomal RNA
Rfam family: Bacterial small subunit ribosomal RNA
Source: RNAcentral
UACGGGGGGGGUAAGCGUUGUUCGGAAUUACUGGGCGUAAAGGGCUCGUAGGCGGCCAACUAAGUCAUACGUGAAAUCCCUCAGCUUAACUGGGGAACUGCGUGUGAUACUGGAUGGCUUGGAUUUGGGAGAGGGACGCGGAAUUCCAGGUGUAGCGGUGAAAUGCGUAGAUAUCUGGAGGAACACCGGUGGCGAAGGCGGCAUCCUGGACCAAUAUUGACGCUGAGGAGCGAAAGCUAGGGGAGCAAACGGG